This 1090-nucleotide ribosomal RNA is filed under the name Bacillus haynesii. Its description in RNAcentral is "bacterial SSU rRNA". It matches the Rfam family "Bacterial small subunit ribosomal RNA", at positions 38 to 1076 of the family's 1533-position model. The record is from RNAcentral. Lineage: Bacteria; Bacillati; Bacillota; Bacilli; Caryophanales; Bacillaceae.
GGGGGGGCGGCCUAUACAUGCAAGUCGAGCGGACAGAUGGUGCAGCUUGCGUCCCUGAUGUUAGCGGCGGACGGGUGAGUAACACGUGGGUAACCUGCCUGUAAGACUGGGAUAACUCCGGGAAACCGGGGCUAAUACCGGAUGCUUGAUUGAACCGCAUGGUUCAAUUAUAAAAGGUGGCUUUUACCUACCACUUACAGAUGGACCGACGGCGCAUUAGCUAGUUGGUGAGGUAACGGCUCACCAAGGCAACGAUGCGUAUCCGACCUGAGAGGGUGAUCGGCCACACUGGGACUGAGACACGGCCCAAACUCCUACGGAAGGCAGCAGUAGGGAAUCUUCCGCAAUGGACGAAAGUCUGACGGAGCAACGCCGCGUGAGUGAUGAAGGUUUUCGGAUCGUAAAACUCUGUUGUUAGGGAAAAACAAGUACCGUUCGAAUAGGGCGGUACCUUGACGGUACCUAACCAGAAAGCCACGGCUAACUACGUGCCAGCAGCCGCGGAAAUACGUAGGUGGCAAGCGUUGUCCGGAAUUAUUGGGCGUAAAGCGCGCGCAGGCGGUUUCUUAAUUCUGAUGUGAAAGCCCCCGGCUCAACCGGGGAGGGUCAUUGAAAACUGGGGAACUUGAGAGCAAAAAAGAAAAGUGGAAUUCCACGUGUAGCGGUGAAAUGCGUAGAGAUGUGGAGGAACACCAGUGGCGAAGGCGACUCUCUGGUCUGUAACUGACGCUAAGGCGCGAAAGCGUGGGGAGCGAACAGGAUUAGAUACCCUGGUAGUCCACGCCGUAAACGAUGAGUGCUAAGUGUUAAGAGGGUUUCCGCCCUUUAGUGCUGCAGCAAACGCAUUAAGCACUCCGCCCUGGGGGAGUACGGUCCGCAAGACUGGAAACUCAAAGGGAAUUGACGGGGGGCCCCGCACAAGCCGGUGGAAGCAUGUGGUUUUAAUUUCGAAAGCAACCGCGAAAAAACCUUUACCAGGGUCUUUGAACAUCCUUCUGAACAACCCCUAAAGAAUAAGGGCUUUCCCCCUUUCGGGGGGCCAGAAAUUGAACCGGGUGGUUGCCUGGUUUGUUCGUCCACCCUCCGGGUC